GAUGAACGCUGGCGGCGUGCCUAAUACAUGCAAGUCGAGCGAACAGACGAGGAGCUUGCUCCUCUGACGUUAGCGGCGGACGGGUGAGUAACACGUGGAUAACCUACCUAUAAGACUGGGAUAACUUCGGGAAACCGGAGCUAAUACCGGAUAAUAUAUUGAACCGCAGGGUUCAAUAGUGAAAGACGGUUUUGCUGGCACUUAUAGAUGGAUCCGCGCCGCAUUAGCUAGUUGGUAAGGUAACGGCUUACCAAGGCAACGAUGCGUAGCCGACCUGAGAGGGUGGUCGGCCACACUGGAACUUGGCCACGGUCCAGACUCCUGCGGGAGGCAGCAGUAGGGAAUCUUCCGCAGUGGGCGAAAGCCUGACGGAGCAGCGCCGCGUGAGUGAUGAAGGUCUUCGGAUCGUAAAACUCUGUUAUUGGGGAAGAACAAAUGUGUAAGUAACUAUGCACGUCUUGACGGUACCUAAUCAGAAAGCCACGGCUAACUACGUG
This 497-nucleotide ribosomal RNA is filed under the name uncultured bacterium. Its description in RNAcentral is "partial 16S ribosomal RNA". It matches the Rfam family "Bacterial small subunit ribosomal RNA", at positions 28 to 507 of the family's 1533-position model. The record is from RNAcentral.